RNAcentral lists this ribosomal RNA (465 nucleotides) under uncultured bacterium. RNAcentral describes it as "partial 16S ribosomal RNA". It matches the Rfam family "Bacterial small subunit ribosomal RNA", at positions 28 to 507 of the family's 1533-position model. The record is from RNAcentral.
GAUGAACGCUGACAGAAUGCUUAACACAUGCAAGUCAACUUGAAUUUGGGUUUUUAACUUAGGUUUGGGUGGCGGACGGGUGAGUAACGCGUAAAGAACUUGCCUCACAGCUAGGGACAACAUUUGGAAACGAAUGCUAAUACCUAAUAUUAUGAUAAUAGGGCAUCCUAAUUAUGAAAGCUAUAAGCGCUGUGAGAGAGCUUUGCGUCCCAUUAGCUAGUUGGAGAGGUAACGGCUCACCAAGGCGAUGAUGGGUAGCCGGCCUGAGAGGGUGAUCGGCCACAAGGGGACUGAGACACGGCCCUUACUCCUACGGGAGGCAGCAGUGGGGAAUAUUGGACAAUGGACCGAGAGUCUGAUCCAGCAAUUCUGUGUGCACGAUGAAGUUUUUCGGAAUGUAAAGUGCUUUCAGUUGGGAAGAAACAAAUGACGGUACCAACAGAAGAAGUGACGGCUAAAUACGUG